GCAACAGCUCAAAUUUGAAAUCUGGCGUCUUCGGCGUCCGAGUUGUAAUUUGUAGAGGGUGUCUCGGGUGGCACACCGGUCCAAGUCCCUUGGAACAGGAUAACAUAGAGGGUGAGAUUCCCGUAUCCGGCCGGUCCAUGCCCCCGCUGUGAGACCCCUUCGACGAGUCGAGUUGUUUGGGAAUGCAGCUCCAAAUUGGUGGUAAAUUCCAUCUAAAGCUAAAUACUGGCCAGAGACCGAUAGCGCACAAGUAGAGUGAUCGAAAGAUGAAAAGCACUUUGAAAAGAGAGUUAAAAAGUACGUGAAAUUGUUGAAAGGGAAGCGUAUGCGGCUAGACUUAUCCGUGGUUGCUCAGCCCGUCUUCUGGCGGGUGUACUCUUCCACGGCUAGGCCAGCAUCGGUUUGGACGGCCAGAUAAAGGCGUCGGGAACGUGGCCCCCCUCGGGGGGUGUUAUAGCCCGUCGUGCAAUGUGGCCAGUCCGGACCGAGGCCCGCGUUUUCUAGGAUGCUGGCAUAAUGGCCGUAUACGGCCCGUCUUGAAACACGGACCAAGGAGUGCAACAUCUAUGCGAGUGUUUGGGUGCAAAGCCCGGACGCGUAAUGAAAGUGAACGGAGGUGGGAGCCUCGGCGCACCAUCGACCGAUCCUGAUGUCUUCGGAAGGAUUUGAGUAAGAGCAUAGCUGAUGCGACCCGAAAGAUGGUGAACUAUGCGUGAAUAGGGUGAAGCCAGAGGAAACUCUGGUGGAGGCUCGCAGCGGUUCUGACGUGCAAAUCGAUCGUCAA
This 784-nucleotide ribosomal RNA is filed under the name Bellamyces quercus. Its description in RNAcentral is "partial large subunit ribosomal RNA". It matches the Rfam family "Eukaryotic large subunit ribosomal RNA", at positions 101 to 908 of the family's 3401-position model. The record is from RNAcentral. Lineage: Eukaryota; Fungi; Ascomycota; Dothideomycetes; Venturiales; Sympoventuriaceae.